This 336-nucleotide unclassified non-coding RNA is filed under the name Hevea brasiliensis (rubber tree). The record is from RNAcentral. Lineage: Eukaryota; Viridiplantae; Streptophyta; Magnoliopsida; Malpighiales; Euphorbiaceae.
UGACACUCCCUUGAGGCAUGUUGUGGCUUGUUUGUACAAUCGAGGAAGUUGAAGAAGCUAGGAUGCAGAACUGGGCUACGGAAGAAGCAGAACAACAACAAAACAAAAAAAACUGAACUUAAAGAAUUUGAUUAUUGUGCAGGUUCCAUGUAAUGCCUCUGGGCUCUUGUCUUGCUGAUCUUCGAUAUUUUACAUGAUAUGCUGUUAUUUUAAAGCUUUUAGCUCCAAAAGAAAAGGAGAUCCUAGUGACAAAGCUUUCAUUGAGCUUCUCUGUACAUAUUUGUCAAGGAAAAUACUAGCACAUAUAACAAACAUCCAAGAAUUCGUAGAUGAGCA